CUCCUACGGGAGGCAGCAGUAGGGAAUCUUCCACAAUGGGCGAAAGCCUGAUGGAGCAACGCCGCGUGAGUGAUGAAGGCCUUCGGGUUGUAAAACUCUGUCAUUCGGGACGAACCGGAGUCUGAGGAAAUGCAGACUCUCUGACGGUACCGGAGGAGGAAGCCCCGGCUAACUACGUGCCAGCAGCCGCGGUAAUACGUAGGGGGCAAGCGUUGUCCGGAUUCACUGGGCGUAAAGCGCGCGCAGGCGGUGAUGUAAGUCUGAGGUGAAAACCCGAAGCUCAACUUCGGGACUGCCUUGGAUACUGCGUCACUUGAGGAUAGGAGAGGCAAGGGGAAUUCCACGUGUAGCGGUGAAAUGCGUAGAGAUGUGGAGGAACACCUGUGGCGAAGGCGCCUUGCUGGCCUAUUUCUGACGCUGAGGCGCGAAAGCGUGGGGAGCAAACAGGAUUAGAUACCCUGGUAGUCCACGCUGUAAACGAUGAGUGCUAGGUGUAGGUGGGCUCAUACCCAUCUGUGCCGAAGCUAACGCAUUAAGCACUCCGCCUGGGGAGUACGGUCGCAAGACUGAAACUCAAAGGAAUUGACGGGGGCCCGCACAAGCAGUGGAGCAUGUGGUUUAAUUCGAAGCAACGCGAAGAACCUUACCAGGACUUGACAUCCCAUAGACCAGUCUAGAGAUAGACUUUCCCUUCGGGGCUGUGGUGACAGGUGGUGCAUGGUUGUCGUCAGCUCGUGUCGUGAGAUGUUGGGUUAAGUCCCGCAACGAGCGCAACCCUUACUUUGUGUUGCCAGCAUUCAGUUGGGCACUCACAAGGGACUGCCGCCGAUAAGGCGGAGGAAGGUGGGGAUGACGUCAAAUCAUCAUGCCCCUUAUGUCCUGGGCUACACACGUGCUACAAUGGGCGGUACAACGGGAUGCGAAGCCGCGAGGUGGAGCCAAACCCUGAAAACCGUUCGUAGUUCGGAUUGUAGGCUGCAACUCGCCUACAUGAAGCCGGAAUUGCUAGUAAUCGCGGAUCAGCAUGCCGCGGUGAAUCCGUUCCCGGGCCUUGUACACACCGCCCGU
This 1068-nucleotide ribosomal RNA is filed under the name uncultured Bacillota bacterium. Its description in RNAcentral is "bacterial SSU rRNA". It matches the Rfam family "Bacterial small subunit ribosomal RNA", at positions 336 to 1397 of the family's 1533-position model. The record is from RNAcentral. Lineage: Bacteria; Bacillati; Bacillota.